GUGCUCACUUCGGCAGCACAUAUACUAAAAUCGGA
RNAcentral lists this small nuclear RNA (35 nucleotides) under Cervus elaphus hippelaphus. Lineage: Eukaryota; Metazoa; Chordata; Mammalia; Artiodactyla; Cervidae. The record is from RNAcentral.